AGCCAGAGGAAGAUAUUUUUGGUUUAACCUGCCCAAUGUGUUAUUGUAUGAAUGGCCGCGGUACCCUGACCGUGCUAAGGUAGCGUAAUCAAUUGGCUUUUAAAUGGAGUCAGGUAUGAAUGGGAUAACCGGGCUUAGCUGUCUCAAAGACAUUUAUUUGAAUUUACUGUUCAAGUGAAAAAGCUUGAUUUAAGAAAAGGGACGAGAAGACCCUUAGAAUUUUGUUUAAAGGGGAUUAUUUCUUCUAUGAUUUUGUUGGGGCGACAGAGAAAUAAUUAAAACUUUCUUUAAAUUAAUCAGUCGGAAUUUUCAGGUUAGGAUAAAUUACCUGAGGGAUAACAGCAUAAUUUUAUAAAUAAGUUUGUGACCUCGAUGUUGGACUAGGGAGCUAAUGGGUUAGCUGCUCAUUGUGCGGAUUCUGUUCGAAUUUUAACUCCUACGUGAUCU
RNAcentral lists this ribosomal RNA (447 nucleotides) under Eubranchus farrani. RNAcentral describes it as "partial 16S ribosomal RNA". It matches the Rfam family "Bacterial large subunit ribosomal RNA", at positions 1829 to 2606 of the family's 2925-position model. Lineage: Eukaryota; Metazoa; Mollusca; Gastropoda; Nudibranchia; Eubranchidae. The record is from RNAcentral.